This 533-nucleotide ribosomal RNA is filed under the name uncultured archaeon. RNAcentral's name for it is "bacterial SSU rRNA". It matches the Rfam family "Archaeal small subunit ribosomal RNA", at positions 345 to 879 of the family's 1478-position model. The record is from RNAcentral.
AACCUUUGCAAUGUGCGCAAGCACGACAAGGUUAAUCCGAGUGUUUCCUGCUAAAGGAAUCUUUUGUUAGUUGUAAAACCACUAAUGAAUAAGGGGUGGGCAAGUUCUGGUGUCAGCCGCCGCGGUAAAACCAGCACCUCAAGUGGUCAGGAGGAUUAUUGGGCCUAAAGCAUCCGUAGCCUGUUCUAUAAGUUUCCCGUUAAAUCCAUUAGCUCAACUAAUGGGCUGCCGGAAAUACUGUAAAACUAGGAAGUGGGAGAGGUAGACGGUACUCGGUAGGAAGGGGUAAAAUCCUUUGAUCUAUUGAUGACCACCUGUGGCGAAGGCGGUCUACCAGAACACGUUCGACGGUGAGGGAUGAAAGCUGGGGGAGCAAACCGGAUUAGAUACCCGGGUAGUCCCAGCUGUAAACGAUGCAGACUCGGUGAUGCCCUGGCUUGUGGCCAGUGCAGUGCCGCAGGGAAGCCGUUAAGUUUGCCGCCUGGGAAGUACGUACGCAAGUAUGAAACUUAAAGGAAUUGGCGGGGGAGCAC